AACCAGAGCCGAGGAAACCGAGCCCAGUUCCCUGCCCAGAGCAGGGCAUCUCAGUCAGUGAAGCCCCACUUAGACCUCACCCUAUCAUGGCCUGCUGCCUCCUCUGCUGUGUGGUCCUCUGUCUCCUGGGCACAGUCUUCAUGGACACUGGAGUUACCCAGACACCAAGACACCUGGUCAUGGGAACAGCAAACAAGAAGACGAUCAGAUGUGGACAACGGCUGAAUCACAAUGCGAUGUACUGGUACAAACAGCACGCUCAGAGGCCCCCGGAGCUCAUGUUUCUCUACAACUACAAAGAACUCACUGACAACCAGAGUGUGCCAAGCCGCUUCUCCCCUGAAUGCCCUGACAGCUCUCAUCUACUGCUUCAUCUGUCCAACCUGCAGCCAGGAGACUCAGCUGUGUAUCUGUGCGCCAGCAGCCAAGACACAGCCCUGCAGAUGCACCGCCUCCCUGUGCACAAACCCCCACGAUCCUGGAAACCUUGA
Molecule: non-coding RNA, 491 nt
Organism: Ochotona princeps (American pika)
Lineage: Eukaryota; Metazoa; Chordata; Mammalia; Lagomorpha; Ochotonidae
Source: the annotation of a RefSeq genome assembly